GAUGGACGCUGGCGGCGUGCCUAAUACAUGCAAGUCGAGCGAACAGACGAGGAGCUUGCUCCUCUGACGUUAGCGGCGGACGGGUGAGUAACACGUGGAUAACCUACCUAUAAGACUGGGAUAACUUCGGGAAACCGGAGCUAAUACCGGAUAAUAUAUUGAACCGCAUGGUUCAAUAGUGAAAGACGGUUUUGCUGUCACUUAUAGAUGGAUCCGCGCCGCAUUAGCCAGUUGGUAAGGUAACGGCUUACCAAGGCGACGAUGCGUAGCCGACCUGAGAGGGUGAUCGGCCACACUGGAACUGAGACACGGUCCAGACUCCUACGGGAGGCAGCAGUAGGGAAUCUUCCGCAAUGGGCGAAAGCCUGACGGAGCAACGCCGCGUGAGUGAUGAAGGUCUUCGGAUCGUAAAACUCUGUUAUUAGGGAAGAACAAAUGUGUAAGUAACUAUGCACGUCUUGACGGUACCUAAUCAGAAAGCCACGGCUAACUACGUG
This 497-nucleotide ribosomal RNA is filed under the name uncultured bacterium. RNAcentral's name for it is "partial 16S ribosomal RNA". It matches the Rfam family "Bacterial small subunit ribosomal RNA", at positions 28 to 507 of the family's 1533-position model. The record is from RNAcentral.